Long non-coding RNA from Amphibalanus amphitrite, 446 nucleotides. RefSeq lists it as uncharacterized. The transcript has 3 exons. The record is from RefSeq and is a predicted model, not a curated record. Lineage: Eukaryota; Metazoa; Arthropoda; Thecostraca; Balanomorpha; Balanidae.
ACGAUCCUCGCCUGAGGCGGUGAGGGGAGACCGGGCGUCCCCUUCUGUCGCGUUGUGUCGCUACCAGUUUCAAGCCCGUCCAAGGGGUGCAGAUGGGUGUGUUGAGUGUGUAGUGUCGUCUGUCGUCUCCUCUUCUGACAAUCCUUCAUGAAGUUCAGCCCAGCAAUAAUAUGCGAUACGAGACUCGACGGACGACAUCCUCGCUCAAGAUGUGUAGCUGGAGGCAAACGGAACGGCGGCCGACAACGAACGGCAGUGGCGGCGGCACCACCAGCAGCGGCGGUGGCAACAGCAGCUUAUAUGGCCUUGGCAGCAGCAACGGUGCAGGAACUUUGAACGUGACGCUAACGCUGGCAACGAAAGCGGCACCGUGUAACAUGUCUCUCAACUUAACCAAGUGUCUGUCAUCUGAAUAUUGAAGUGAAUAUACCUACGUUGAAAUGAAA